Podarcis lilfordi (Lilford's wall lizard) is the source of this 75-nucleotide non-coding RNA. The record is from the annotation of a GenBank genome assembly. NCBI's taxonomy places the organism in Eukaryota, Metazoa, Chordata, Lepidosauria, Squamata, Lacertidae.
AGGGCUGGAGCUCAGUGGCAGAGCAUCUGUUUUGCAUGCAGAAGGUUCCAAGUUCAAUCUCCCAUGGCAUCUCUA